RNAcentral lists this microRNA precursor (190 nucleotides) under Oryza brachyantha (malo sina). Its description in RNAcentral is "MIR812 microRNA precursor family". It matches the Rfam family "MIR812 microRNA precursor family". Lineage: Eukaryota; Viridiplantae; Streptophyta; Magnoliopsida; Poales; Poaceae. The record is from Rfam by way of RNAcentral.
AAUAAACCAAAUUUUCACUUUUUACCUUCAAUUUUUAAGUCUUCGUCUUAUUUAAAAAAAUUUUGCAAUUGAUAUUUUUAUUUUUAUUAGAUGAUAAAUCAUAAAUAGUAUUUUACGUGUGACUAAUUUUUUUUAAUUUUCUAAAAUUUUUCAAAUAAGACGGAUGGUCAAACGUUGGAUACAGAAAUUC